AUGCAAGUCGAGCGGAGACAGUGAGUAGCUUGCUAUGAGCUGUUUUAGCGGCGGACGGGUGAGUAACGCGUGAGCAACCUUUCCCAGACAGGGGAAUAACACACCGAAAGGUGUACUAAUACCGCAUAAGACCACGGGAUCACAUGGUUCUGAGGUAAAAGAUUUAUCGGUUUGGGGUGGGCUCGCGUCCGAUUAGGUAGUUGGUGAGGUAACGGCCCACCAAGCCGACGAUCGGUAGCCGACCUGAGAGGGUGAUCGGCCACAUUGGGACUGAGACACGGCCCAAACUCCUACGGGAGGCAGCAGUGGGGAAUAUUGGGCAAUGGAGGAAACUCUGACCCAGCAACGCCGCGUGGAGGAAGAAGGUUUUCGGAUCGUAAACUCCUGUCCUUGGAGACGAGUAGAAGACGGUAUCCAAGGAGGAAGCCCCGGCUAACUACGUGCCAGCAGCCGCGGUAAUACGUAGGGGGCAAGCGUUGUCCGGAAUAAUUGGGCGUAAAGGGCGCGUAGGCGGCUCGGUAAGUCUGGAGUGAAAGUCCUGCUUUUAAGGUGGGAAUUGCUUUGGAUACUGUCGGGCUUGAGUGCAGGAGAGGUUAGUGGAAUCCCCAGUGUAGCGGUGAAAUGCGUAGAGAUUGGGAGGAACACCAGUGGCGAAGGCGACUAACUGGACUGUAACUGACGCUGAGGCGCGAAAGUGUGGGGAGCAAACAGGAUUAGAUACCCUGGUAGUCCACACU
Molecule: ribosomal RNA, 737 nt
Filed under: uncultured bacterium
Lineage: Bacteria
Description: bacterial SSU rRNA
Rfam family: Bacterial small subunit ribosomal RNA
Source: RNAcentral